UACGUAGGGUGCGAGCGUUAAUCGGAAUUACUGGGCGUAAAGCGUGCGCAGGCGGUCUGUUAAGACCGAUGUGAAAUCCCCGGGCUUAACCUGGGAACUGCAUUGGUGACUGGCAGGCUUUUGAGUGUGGCAGAGGGAGGUAGAAUUCCACGUGUAGCAGUGAAAUGCGUAGAGAUGUGGAGGAAUACCGAUGGCGAAGGCAGCCUCCUGGGCCAACACUGACGCUCAUGCACGAAAGCGUGGGGAGCAAACAG
RNAcentral lists this ribosomal RNA (254 nucleotides) under uncultured bacterium. RNAcentral's name for it is "partial 16S ribosomal RNA". It matches the Rfam family "Bacterial small subunit ribosomal RNA", at positions 524 to 775 of the family's 1533-position model. The record is from RNAcentral.